This is a long non-coding RNA of Lynx canadensis (Canada lynx), 304 nucleotides long. RefSeq lists it as uncharacterized. The record is from RefSeq and is a predicted model, not a curated record. The transcript is spliced from 3 exons. NCBI's taxonomy places the organism in Eukaryota, Metazoa, Chordata, Mammalia, Carnivora, Felidae.
CGUACCCUACCGCGGGGUGGUGCUCUGACUGCGGCAACCGUUGAAGGGCUGCCCCCAGGGAGGCAGCAAGGCGCCACCGGUCCCUUAAACAUCUUCUGAAGUAUAUUCUACACUAAGAGGAAUGACUGCACCAUUUUUCUGAGCUAUGGCAGUCAGACCUGGUACCAGUAACUUCUCUACAGAACCCCCAAACCUGGCAAGAAUGGAUCAGAUUUUGACAGAUUAUGGCUUCAUCCACACCCAGAACUGAUGAUAUCAGCAGAGAGAGAGACAGAGCAUGAACGGGGGAGGGGCAGAGAGAGAG